AAGAGCCCUUUGAUUUCCCAAAGGACGGGUACACCUUCAGGGUUCAAGCCGACACUCUGUGGUUCUCAAUGGCGUCCGCAUCUGUUAGAGUUCGCAGUCUGACUGUGCUAGUACAGGCCUUGGUGAUCGUCUGCGUGGUGAUCAUGUGCAGCUGCAGCUACACCUGCGAGGGCCGUCGAUCUCUGCUCCCGUUCUUCCGUGAGGAGAAGCCGCCCAUCGCACUUAAACCUGCUCCAUGCUUUAUUCCGCCGUGCCCCAAGAACUGAUGCACAGGUGGGGCAUUCUGUACGAGCAUCUCCGUUCCUACUGCGAAUAAUAUACAAGGGAAUGAUGGUAGCUUAAUACAGCAAGUAAUAACAGAUGCUCAACUCACGGGCUAGUGCUGUCCCAAGCACACGAUUCUCAGCAGUUUGUUGAGGUCAUAAUAAUAAAGGGCCACACAACUCCUACA
Molecule: long non-coding RNA, 451 nt
Organism: Panicum hallii
Lineage: Eukaryota; Viridiplantae; Streptophyta; Magnoliopsida; Poales; Poaceae
Exons: 2
Source: RefSeq, a predicted model, not a curated record